This 486-nucleotide ribosomal RNA is filed under the name uncultured bacterium. RNAcentral describes it as "partial 16S ribosomal RNA". It matches the Rfam family "Bacterial small subunit ribosomal RNA", at positions 30 to 507 of the family's 1533-position model. The record is from RNAcentral.
AUUGAACGCUGGCGGCAUGCCUUACACAUGCAAGUCGAACGGCAGCACGGGUGCUUGCACCUGGUGGCGAGUGGCGAACGGGCGAGUAAUACAUGGGAGCAUGUCCUGUAGUGGGGGAUAGCCCGGCGAAAGCCGGAUUAAUACCGCAUACGAUCCACGGAUGAAAGCGGGGGACCUUCUGGCCUCGCUCUUGAGGGUUGGCCGCUGGCUGAUUAGUUAGUUGGUGGGGUAAAGGCCUACCAAGGCGACGAACAGUAGCUGGUCUGAGAGAACGACCAGCCACACUGGGACUGAGACACGGCCCAGACUCCUACGGGAGGCAGCAGUGGGGAAUUUUGGACAAUGGGCGAAAGGCUGAUCCAGCAAUGCCGCUUGUUUGAAGAAGGCCUUCGGGUUGUAAAACUCUUUUGUCCGGAAAGAAAUCCUUGACUCUAAUACAGUCGGGGGAUGGCGGUACCGGAAGAAUAAGCACCGGCUAACUACGUG